GGCAGGCGCCGCCGUCUCCCGCUAGAGGGACCCGGGCUGCCUCCGCGGCCGUGUCGCCCCAGCGGACGGCGAGCGCCUCCGGAGCCGGGACGGCGUCCUCGUCACUUGGGUCUGGCACGGAGUGGGGCCUAGCGAGGGGCUGCACACGGAGGGACGCCGCGGUGGCGCGGGCCAGGCGCUCAGCGGGUGCGCCCCAAGGGUCUGCGGGCCGCGGGGACUUGCUGGCGGGCCUGGAGGCGGGGGGCAGGCUGACGCGUCGCCUCUGGGAGAACCGGGAGACCCGCGGCGAGCAGAGUUGAGGACCGGCCAGCGGGGCGUCCCGGGGCUAGACCUGGGACAUGUCCGAGUGACUGGGGGAGCCCCGGCCGUGCAAGCUUGAGAUACAGUUUAAACUUCAGACAAGGCCGGACUACCCUGUAAACCAGAGACAACUUUUCAUUUGAAUGAACAGAAUCACAGACUACAAUGAAAGGGGGAAAAAAUGUAUCUUGACUGUGACAGUACAUAGAAGCUGCCUUACUCACCACUGUUGGACUAUCAUAGAGACAAUCUCCUGUGCUGCCUCCCACUGGCUGAACCCAAGAGGAAGCCUAAGGGCAAGUGAGCCCUGAUGACGUUGUCCUUCAAGGCCAGCCUCCGGAAAAUGAUGGAGGGUAGAUCUGGAAGGACAAAAGCACAAUAUCUAGCAGAUCAUUCGCUCUGAUGGAAGCGAGCUGCCAUGUUGCAAGCUGCCCUAAAGAGAGGUCCCCAUGGCAAGAAGCUGAGGGAGAUCUCGAGUCAACAGCCAGCUAGGAACUGGGGCUUCAAUCCAAUAACCCAAGAACAAUUGAGACCUACCAACAGCCACAGGAGUGGAGCUUGGAAGCAGAACGUUCUUCAGUUAAGCCUUCAGAUAAGACUGCAGUCCCUCUGGACGGUUUGACUAUAACUUCAUGAGAGACUUUGAGUCCAAACCACCCAACCAUGAUGGCCCCAAAUUUCUGACCCAUAGAAAUUGUGAGAUAUUUGUUGUAAUUUUCUUUUUUUUUUUAAUUUUUUUUUAACGUUUAUUUAUUUUUGAGACAGAGAGAGACAGAGCAUGAA
Molecule: non-coding RNA, 1083 nt
Organism: Puma concolor (puma)
Lineage: Eukaryota; Metazoa; Chordata; Mammalia; Carnivora; Felidae
Source: RefSeq, a predicted model, not a curated record